AACCAGGACAAAAUCUUCAUUAAUUAACGUGGAUACAGUUUCAGGAAUUCUACUGGCUUUGCUAAAUGAUGUUUUAACUUCCAUCUCAGGUCAGUAGUCUUCUCCUGCCAAAAUAAACCUCCGCUACCCGCCGCCGCCCCCUCGGCGCCUCAGCGGGCCGGGUGCCCCCGAAGGCAGCGCGUCCCUCACCUCAACCGCCGGCGGGAGGAACAGCAUUUGGACGCGGAUCGUCCGACUGGGAAAACGUCGCCCUUCGGCCCUCGGGAAGCGCUGCGGCUCGCAGGGAGGCUGCCUGCUGAGCGCGUACAAAUUCUGGUGACUGCAGCUACGGAAUGACAGCGACCGGCAGAUCGGGCUGCAGAGGAUAACCAAACUUUUCUGAGGGUGGAUGCCAGGCUCGCUGAGCUGUGGAUUGUUUAUCAGCAGUGUUUUUGUACGGCUAAAUAAGUAUUUAAUAUUUAAACGGGUUCAGAUAAAUCACAACAGUGUGAAGAAUUAAGAAAGAUUAAGGGGGAAGAAUAUUAGAGGAGAGGAACAAGAUGAAAAAAUUUAACUGUCAUUAUCCUCAGAUGCAACACACUUCUGCGAGAAUAUGGGUAAUAAACAUGAAGAACUGAAAGUCAUGUUUAUAAUAUUAACAAGCAUUAAAAAAAUCAACAAGAACAUGUCAAAAAUGAAUCAUGGGAUCAUGGCUUCAGCAAGGAUUCCCAUUCUCUAUCGUCUACCUUUCUCGUAAGAAGGCUAGAGGAAUGUGGACUAUGUGAAACUUACAUGAAAUGGUUACAAAAUGGCACUCAGAAGUAACUCCAAGUGAUUCACAUUCAAAACCAGAAGUUUGUAGCAAGUGAGAUUUCCAAACAUUUAUGUCCUGAAUCCCAAACUGCCUAAUUUUACGUGGUGCAAUAUGACAGAGAAGAUUUUUAUUAUUCUUGUGGAGGAUAUCCUGUUCAGGUGAGAGCUGCAAGCAUUUUGGAAGACAGAACUGAACAAAUCAUGACAAGUUGAAACAAAGUUCUAAAGUAAAUAGGAUGUAAUUCCAUGAGGCAAUAAACUUAGAGCUGGGAAUAACUGACUGCAAAACUGUAAGCUGGAGACAAACAGGCUAAGCAGUUACUUUACAAAAAGAAGUCUUGGUUCAGAGCAGUUCACAAAAGAAAAUGAGUCAACAGUGAUUCAGUGUUGUAAAAAAAAAAAAUGUGACGACUUUACUGGAAUGUAGAAAAAGACUGUCAAGCACAAGAAAAGUGAAGUAAUGUUUCCACUCCACUGAGCUCAAAAAGGCUUUUGGUGAAGAAAACUUCUCUGUUUUGGGCACCUCCUUCAAUCAGGGAGAGUUCUGCGGAGAAUGUGAAAAGCUACCAGAAAUCUGGAAAACCCGAGCGUGACUGAAAGAAGUUUGAAUAGAUACCUGAAAAGCCAGCAAAGACAUAUGAAAUGUACAGACUGGGCAAUAUGAGAAUUUGAAAUGAGGAAAGCAGUUUGUUUAUUAGAAAAGUGAAUACACACACCAGCCCAACUGUUUAGUAAUGGAAACAACUUUUUGCUGCAUAAUAAACUCUCAACCUAAAGCACUGAUUAUCAUGAGCCUUUCAAAUCCUCAUACCUGUAAUGUCCUGGGAGGUGCGAGAAAAAUCCUUAAGACAUAGAGCAUACACAUGCUGAGAAGAAAAUCUUUUAUUUUAAAAUUCACCGAAGUA
Molecule: long non-coding RNA, 1697 nt
Organism: Oxyura jamaicensis (ruddy duck)
Lineage: Eukaryota; Metazoa; Chordata; Aves; Anseriformes; Anatidae
Exons: 4
Source: RefSeq, a predicted model, not a curated record